Molecule: transfer RNA, 76 nt
Filed under: Acidobacteriota bacterium
Lineage: Bacteria; Pseudomonadati; Acidobacteriota
Also listed under: 1 other name
Description: tRNA-Ile
Rfam family: tRNA
About the family: Transfer RNA (tRNA) molecules are approximately 80 nucleotides in length. Their secondary structure includes four short double-helical elements and three loops (D, anti-codon, and T loops). Further hydrogen bonds mediate the characteristic L-shaped molecular structure. tRNAs have two regions of fundamental functional importance: the anti-codon, which is responsible for specific mRNA codon recognition, and the 3' end, to which the tRNAs corresponding amino acid is attached (by aminoacyl-tRNA synthetases). tRNAs cope with the degeneracy of the genetic code in two manners: having more than one tRNA (with a specific anti-codon) for a particular amino acid; and 'wobble' base-pairing, i.e. permitting non-standard base-pairing at the 3rd anti-codon position.
Source: RNAcentral
GCCGGUGUAGCUCAGUGGUUAGAGCGGCGGUCUCAUAAUCCGCAGGUCGAAGGUUCAAGUCCUUCCGCCGGCACCA